This is a non-coding RNA of Schistosoma haematobium, 46 nucleotides long. NCBI's taxonomy places the organism in Eukaryota, Metazoa, Platyhelminthes, Trematoda, Strigeidida, Schistosomatidae. The record is from Rfam.
GCAUUGGUGAAGAGUCCCACAAUAGGACGAAACGGCCGUCCAGUGU